GACGAACGCUGGCGGCGUGCUUAACACAUGCAAGUCGAGCGGUAAGGCCCUUUCGGGGUACGACGAGCGGCGAACGGGUGAGUAACACGUGGGUGACCUGCCCUCAGUUCUGGGAUAAGCCUGGGAAACCGGGUCUAAUACUGGAUAUGACCUCAUGACGCAUGUUGUGAGGUGGAAAGCCUUGUGCGACUGAGGAUGGGCCCGCGGCCUAUCAGCUUGUUGGUGGGGUGAUGGCCUACCAAGGCGACGACGGGUAGCCGGCCUGAGAGGGCGACCGGCCACACUGGGACUGAGACACGGCCCAGACUCCUACGGGAGGCAGCAGUGGGGAAUCUUGCGCAAUGGGCGAAAGCCUGACGCAGCGACGCCGCGUGAGGGAUGACGGCCUGGUGUAA
Molecule: ribosomal RNA, 395 nt
Filed under: uncultured bacterium
Lineage: Bacteria
Description: bacterial SSU rRNA
Rfam family: Bacterial small subunit ribosomal RNA
Source: RNAcentral